CGCGGUGGUCCCACCUGACCCCAUGCCGAACUCAGAAGUGAAACGCCGUAGCGCCGAUGGUAGUGUGGGGUCUCCCCAUGCGAGAGUAGGGAACUGCCAGGC
Molecule: ribosomal RNA, 102 nt
Filed under: Citrobacter koseri
Lineage: Bacteria; Pseudomonadati; Pseudomonadota; Gammaproteobacteria; Enterobacterales; Enterobacteriaceae
Also listed under: 133 other names
Source: RNAcentral